AGAUUCUUCAGAUUCGAUAGAUCCUCCAUCGAGCAAAGUGAUGAGCAAUAUUGCAAAGAUAAGGAGGAUAAACUUGAGGGAAGCCUCGGGAGGCGACGCAGAUUACGGCAGUGUAAGCUGCUGGAGUUGAGGAGGGAGGGUAAGGUCUGUCGGUGAGGUGGUCACAAAAUGACAGCGCAGGCUCAGAUACUCCAGCUUGCUCAAGUUCCCAAUCCACUGUGGUAUCGGAUAUUCUUCCACAGGCCCAUCAGACUCCCCAUCACAAUCACAAAACGAAAACC
Molecule: long non-coding RNA, 281 nt
Organism: Rhodamnia argentea
Lineage: Eukaryota; Viridiplantae; Streptophyta; Magnoliopsida; Myrtales; Myrtaceae
Exons: 2
Source: RefSeq, a predicted model, not a curated record